UAAUAUUAUUUAUUUAUUUAAAAUUUAUAUGACAAUAAUAUAAAUUUAAUAAAAAUAAUUAAUAUAUAAAUUCUUUAAAUAUAAUUAAGUAAGCGAGUAUUUUAGUAUAUACUCGUUUUUCUACAUUAUUUUUUCAUCAGAUUUACACCGUUGGAUUAAACUGAAUCCAACGGUCAAAUUUAGGGCAAACUUAAAAGAAAAAAGAAAAUCUAAAAAAGUCAUUCUCCUCUCUUCACGAGAUCUCUCUGCAUCUUUGGUGGCUUUUUAUCGUUGGUCAGCCUACUUCCUCCCUUAACGCAUCAAUUAUGGUUUCUCGUCGUCGAUUUCCUUGUUGUCUGCCACCUGUAGCCAUCGCUGCCGUCCUCCCCAAGAGGCAAAGGAUAUAAUAUCUUGGGAGGAUGGCAGCGACCGCUACAGGUGGUGGACAGAUGACAACGACAACAAAAGAGCAGAAUAGAUGCGUUAAGGGAGGAAGUGGCUUCACCGGCGAUAAAAGGCCAGCAAAGAUGAAAAGAGAUGUCGUGAAGAGUGGAGGGUGACUCUUUUAGAAUCUGUUUUCUUUUAAUUUUGACCGUUGGAUUCAGUUUCAUCCAAGGGUGUAAAACUGAUGUAAAAAAUAAUGUAGAAAAAUGUGUCUAUUGAACGGGUCCCAAUAUAUAUAUGUAUAAAAAAUGUACAUGCAAUUGGCCCUUAGUUAACUCUACAAACCGAAUGCAUUAUUGGUUUUAUCAUUAGCAAUUGAAGGGCAUUUAGAACUUUGGUUUU
Long non-coding RNA from Humulus lupulus (European hop), 765 nucleotides. RefSeq lists it as uncharacterized. NCBI's taxonomy places the organism in Eukaryota, Viridiplantae, Streptophyta, Magnoliopsida, Rosales, Cannabaceae. The record is from RefSeq and is a predicted model, not a curated record. The transcript is spliced from 2 exons.